GGUGGGUGUGUUUGUGCUUCCGAUGACAGGCGGAAGUUUCCGCGGCCGCGUUUCUGCUUUUGGUGGUUCCAUCCAGCUGGGGAACGGGGACCUGACUCUUCUGUGCGAGGAGAGCUGUUUUUCCAACAUGACACAUUCAGACUACAAAAACAGACUUAAUGACAAUGCUAAAGUCAUGACUGACCAGAAAGAAAUGGAUCUCUCUGCAGCACAUCAUCUAUGAAUGGAGUGGAGAGCAUUUGCCAGGACAGAGGCAAAACUUGGUAAGGACAACUGUGUAAAAUUUCAGUACCUUAAAAAAGGGUGCAGA
Molecule: long non-coding RNA, 310 nt
Filed under: Fukomys damarensis (Damara mole-rat)
Lineage: Eukaryota; Metazoa; Chordata; Mammalia; Rodentia; Bathyergidae
Description: lncRNA (ENSFDAG00000022248.1)
Source: RNAcentral